UCCUAUUCAUCCAUCAUUUAAAUCCUCAUCUUCUAUUCAUCAUUAUGAUCACCAUCAUGAUAAUUGACAUGAUACAACGAUUAUCAUUGUUUUUUGACAUUCUCAAUUAUGAAUCGCUCCCUCUUCUCUAUGUUAAAGUCUGAAUUUGCUUUAAUAAAGUGUUAAGUCUCCUUUAAGUUUGUGUAUAAUGUUUCUUUCAUGAUUCAGUUUCCUCCUUAUUUUGUCAGAAUUUAAUUCAUACACACUCACACUCACACUCACUAUCUUUCACAACAUUAAUCAUGAUUUAAUUACAAAUGAAUAAAGCAACAACAAGGGAAAGUACGUAAGUUGAAGAUGUAAAACAAAGAAAAGCAGAGGUCAACACAAAUUCACAGGAAUUCAUUCACCUCAAUCUAAAUACACUAUUUAUCUUUGGAAAAUGGCUUAGAGAUUAUCACCGAAAUUCAUCAUCGUCAAGUUCAAAUAUGAAUUCAAGAAAAAGAGAAGGGAAAUAUUCAAAAAAUUUAAUUAGCCAGUCACCCGGACAUUAACAACACUGAUCAAGGUGCUGUUAAAACUCAACCUGCCAAUAAGUUAACCAAGCCAGCAAAGUCUACUUUUAGUACCAAGAUUUGUCAACACCAAAAGCAACAACUAUCAUGUCCUAAUUGUCCAAUAACGAGUGAUAAUCAUCAUCAUUACGACCGUCCAUUAUAUGAAAUAUUAGGCCAAUUAGUCGAAGCAAAUGUCUACUUGUUUCAUGGAUGUAUAUUUGCCUGAUUUUAACCACCUUUUGACUGCCAUUCGAGACGAAAGUUUACCAGAAAGUAAUUGGAAAUCGCUCGUUGAAAUGGAUGCAAAUUGAUCUGAACGUCUCUCGACUCAAACCAUAAUUCCAAUCAAUAUGAUCAAUGGAUACAAGAAGGAAACUGAAUUAUUGGCCAGAAAAUAUCUAAACCCGAAGCAAUUUCAUCAACACCAGCAUAAACAUUUAAUGAACUGCUUAAAAUCAAUCAUUUGCCUUUUAAUUUUCAACAAUUUUCAGGUCAAUUUAACUCUUUUGUCGUCCAUUAAUCUUUCAAUCUAAUAUAUUUAUAUAAAUUUUAAAAUGGCUUUUCACUUUUGCAAA
This is a long non-coding RNA of Tetranychus urticae (two-spotted spider mite), 1111 nucleotides long. RefSeq lists it as uncharacterized. The record is from RefSeq and is a predicted model, not a curated record. NCBI's taxonomy places the organism in Eukaryota, Metazoa, Arthropoda, Arachnida, Trombidiformes, Tetranychidae.